CCCUUAGAUGUCCUGGGCCGCACGCGCGUUACACUGAUGCAUUCAACGAGCUUAUAACCUUGGCCGAGAGGCCUGGGCAAUCUUGUUAACGUGCAUCGUGAUAGGGAUAGAUUAUUGAAAUUAUUAAUCUUGAACGAGGAAUUCCUAGUAAACGCAGAUCAUCAAUCUGCAUUGAUUACGUCCCUGCCCUUUGUACACACCGCCCGUCGCACCUACCGAUUGGAUGGGCCGGUGAAGCCUCGGGAUUGUGGUUCUUGCCGCUUUAUUGUGGCGUGACCGCGAGAACUUGUCUAAACCUUAUCAUCUAGAGGAAGGUGAAGUCGUAACA
This 328-nucleotide ribosomal RNA is filed under the name uncultured eukaryote. Its description in RNAcentral is "partial 18S ribosomal RNA". It matches the Rfam family "Eukaryotic small subunit ribosomal RNA", at positions 1470 to 1796 of the family's 1831-position model. The record is from RNAcentral.